RNAcentral lists this long non-coding RNA (2247 nucleotides) under Heterocephalus glaber (naked mole-rat). RNAcentral's name for it is "lncRNA (ENSHGLG00100042029.1)". The record is from RNAcentral. Lineage: Eukaryota; Metazoa; Chordata; Mammalia; Rodentia; Bathyergidae.
UACUCGGGCACUGCCUGCCCAGGAAGCUGAGGCUCCCAGGCAGAGCAGCCUCGGCUCCCGGCACCCAAGCAGGGACCCGGCCGCCAGGCCUCGCUGAUCAGCGCCGGGUGCCCGAAGCCCUGGGGCCCGGUCCUCAUGUAUUCGCUCUGCGCCCAGCUGGAAGGGCGAGGUGGAACAGGAAGGCCGGGAAGGGAAAAGUUUGCGACAGGCUGCCGCGGUGUCGGAGGCGAGGCGAGGAAGGGAGCUGGAAUAACAAAGGGCUGGAGAGAUCACUCCUUCUACCGCCGGGAGAGAGGAGGCAACAUGAAUUCAUUCCCAAGGCUCUGGUAGUCUGACAGCCGAUGAACUCAGCCUGGAAUUCCUGAAGGCUUGGAGCCUGCAGCUCGGGUCCCCGGGACUUGAUGUGUCCGUGUGCCGUGCGGAACCUGUUUGAUUUUCCCAGGGGAAACCCUGCCUUCUCCUGCCACUGGGCACUGGGGAAGGUGCUCCUUUCCUGCCUCCUCAGCCUUCCGACCUGUCACAAGGACUGUUACUGCUGCUGCUUCCCCCACUCACCCACCCACAGGUGGCAGCUGAGUAUCUGGGGAGGGUGGGUGAUUUGCAAUCACUUCCUGACCUUUAGGGACACCCAGAGGCACCAUCCCAGCAAAUUCCUGUGGGAGGGAGUCCCUGCUUCUCAGCCUGUGGGUGGCCCAAGUUCACAGGUGGGUUGAGGGCUGCCUGAGAAAUCCUUGAAGGCCUGCUUUGGAAAGUGGGAAUUCAGCUUGCUGCCUGUUGGCUAAACCUACAGCUCACCCACCACAGCAUCCUACAGCAUUGCAAUGAGCAGAAAGCCACCCCCACGCCCAGGACUAAAAUCCCAUAGUGGAGUUUUCCAAGCAUUUAAGGACUUGGAAUGCAAGAAACCAGCCACAGCCAGCAACUGGGCCAGUUCCUGUUGCCUUGAUGACACCGGGUCAGGACACCUGGCCCUCUCAGCCUUCUGUCCAAAUCCCUCACUGAGUACCCAGAGCUGGCUAUCCCUAGGAGGUGGGGGGAUGCAGAUAACCUCAGGAUGACCAUUCAUGUUCAAAAGCUCCUGUCCAGAAGCUUCUGGCCAGUAUUUAUACCUGGGAACCAGGAAGUGACUGCAGGAACCAAGCAGGAGCCAAGCAGGAACCAGCCCAGAGCGAGUGGUAAGGGAUAAGGCCAGCCCUCCCUAGAUGUGCAAGACAGAUGAGCUGCAAGUCUGAGAAACCCCACUCAGGCCUCCUGGGGACCCUGGGCCCCAGUCCUUGCUCUUAGAGGACCCUGCUAUCUCUGACAUCUUCCAGGGAGAUCAGAGGGCAGGUCAGAUUCCCUCUGGGGUCUUGGAUGACACUGUGACCUACUCAGUGCCUACUGUUUGCUGAGGACUGUGGGGCAGGGCAUCUUGGGCAGUAGCUUAUGGCAGUCAAAUUGUGUAUCUAACAAGCCCGCGCUGGGUCCUGAUGCAAAUUCAGGCCCUUGUUAACAGUUUCCUGCUGGCCCUAACCCAGCUCCACAUCUGUAUCCAUGGACUCUGUGUGGCCCCAAACAACUGGCUUUCCCUCUCUGAGCCUUUGUUAGCUUAAGGGCAAGGUCACACUGGCAGUGAUAAGUCUUUCUGAGGCCUAUGUAUCCUGAGGCCCCAGUCUCUCUGCCUCAGCUUCUCUUAUCCAGGAGGUCUGGGGUGAGGCAGAGAUGAACUUACCAUCAUGUCCCAGCCCUGGGACGUGGCAGAUGUACCCCGUUCUGCCAGGGCUGGCCAUGCAUCACUUGUCCAGAGGCAGCUUCAGGACCCACUAUGGGAGCACAGGCUGCAUGGGCGCAGCCCUCGGGUGCUGAUACAGGGCCUGGCUUGGACCCUCCUUCGCCUCGGACUCAGGUGCUAUUCAUUUCCCCUCCCUGGGAGCCAUCAUCAGAACAAAGAGGCCAGACGGAGAGCAAGACCCAGGUCUCAGGAGGCCAGAAGCCACAGGUGUCACUGCGGCUGCAGGAAGAUGAGCAGAGGCUCCACAACCUGCUGGCAUUCUCAAAGCUGCUGGCACUUGGCCUUGACUCUUCAGGACCCUUCUCCUGGGUCAGUGUCUCACUCUCACCGUGGAGCUCUGCUCUUCCUGCUCCUGGCUCCACAUCCAGCUCAGCCCCUGCCCCGCCCCCUCCAGGGAGACCCGGAGAGGAGACUGAGAGCCUGCUUCAGCAUGGGGAUACCUCAGUGCCCAGCCUGCCACUCCUGACCUACAUAUG